AACGUAGGAGACGAACGUUAUCCGGAGUUACUGGGCGUAAAGGGCGUGCAGGCGGUCUGAUAAGUCCGGCGUGAAAUCUUUCGGCUUAACCGGGGGAUGUCGUCGGAGACUGUCGGACUAGAGGGUGAUAGAGGCGUGUGGAAUUCCGGGUGUAGUGGUGAAAUGCGUAGAGAUCCGGAGGAACACCAGUGGCGAAGGCGACACGCUGGGUCAUACCUGACGCUAAUACGCGACAGCAUGGGGAGCGAACGGG
Molecule: ribosomal RNA, 253 nt
Filed under: uncultured bacterium
Lineage: Bacteria
Description: partial 16S ribosomal RNA
Rfam family: Bacterial small subunit ribosomal RNA
Source: RNAcentral